GAGUUUGAUCCUGGCUCAGGACGAACGCUGGCGGCGCGCUUAACACAUGCAAGUCGAGCGAUAACCAUGGCUUCGGCUAUGGGGACAGCGGCGAACGGGUGAGUAACACGUGAGUAAUCUGCCCUCGACACUGGGAUAGCCCGGGGAAACCCGGAUUAAUACCGGAUAGCCUCUCGAGCUUUCGGGCUCGUCAGAAAAGAUGGCUUCGGCUUUCGGUUGAGGAGGAGCUCGCGGCGGAUUAGCUUGUUGGUGAGGUAACGGCCCACCAAGGCGACGAUCCGUAGCUGGUCUGAGAGGAGGACCAGCCACACUGGGACUGAGACACGGCCCAGACCCCUACGGGAGGCAGCAGUGGGGAAUCUUGCGCAAUGGACGAAAGUCUGACGCAGCGACGCCGCGUGGGCGACGAAGGCCUUCGGGUUGUAAAGCCCUGUGGGGAGGGACGAACACUGAUUGUUCAAAUAGGGCAGUCAGCUGACGGUACCUCCUUAGCAAGCACCGGCUAACUCUGUGCCAGCAGCCGCGGUAAGACAGAGGGUGCAAACGUUGCUCGGAAUUACUGGGCGUAAAGCGCGUGUAGGUGGUCACGCAAGUCAGGUGUGAAAGCCCAGGGCUCAACCCUGGAAGUGCACAUGAUACUACGUGGCUGGAGUACUGAAGAGGAGAGCGGAAUUCCCGGUGUAGAGGUGAAAUUCGUAGAUAUCGG
RNAcentral lists this ribosomal RNA (706 nucleotides) under uncultured bacterium. Its description in RNAcentral is "bacterial SSU rRNA". It matches the Rfam family "Bacterial small subunit ribosomal RNA", at positions 9 to 700 of the family's 1533-position model. The record is from RNAcentral.